AAACUAUCACAACACUCGAUAUCACUUAAAAUUCGUUCAAGCACAAUAGUUCAAGCAUAUUUCACUGAAAGAAGAAAGAAACCUAAUCAAAAAGGUGUUGAUAAAGGUAAAUAAUUUUUAUAUUUUAUUUUUUUUGGUUUUAGUAGAAUUUUUAAUUUAAUUUCUAAGUAACUAAUGCCUUGUUAAUUUUUUUGCGGAUUAAUUUUUUUCUUGUAUGGAAAAAUUGGUGUUUGGGCUUGGUUUUUCCAUUGUAAAGGUAUAUUUAUUAUAUAUAAAUAUAAAUAAAUUUUAAACUUAUUAAUAAAUCAAAAAUAUAAAAUUUCUAAAAAUAAUAAAAGUUCAUAAAUAUUUAUUUGGUAGAAUAAACAUGAAUAUAUAUAUAUUUUUGUUAAUGUGAAUAUUUAUAUAAUAUAGACCAUUGCUAUAUUAAAAUAAUAUUUUUAAUAUUAUAUUUCUAGAAUAAGUUUUCUAGUAGAUGUGAAUAUUUCUAGUAUAUUUUUAGUGUACGUUUCUAGUAUAUGAUUUUAAUAUAUUUCUGAUAUAUAUUUCUAUAUAUUUUUCCAGAUGCAGUGAAUAUUUGUAUUUAUAAUAUUUUUAGUAUAUAUUUUUAAUAUAUUUCUAGUAUGUAUAUAUUUUUAACAGAUCUGUAGUAUAUAUUGUGAACAUUUAUGAUAUUUAUAUAAUUUUUACUUGUAAUAAUUUCUUAUUGAUUUCUAUAUAUUGAUUAUAAUAGUAGAUCAUAAUAAUAAUAUUAAUGUCUCGAAAAGUUAAUCAUAUACUAACAAUGUGCUAUAUAUUUUUGGUAAAUUAAUCAUAUAUUAAAAAUUAAUUAUAAAUUAAUUACAACUAGAGAUUUUUUUAUUCGAAUUUUUUUUUUCAUAACCCAGAAAAUACAAAAUAAUAUGAUUUGGAGUUAAAAAUUUAAUGAAAUAUUUCUAUUUAUUUUUAUUCUUUAUCAUUGAUAGAUGGUUGCUUUUGUUGCACGACCAAGACUUAUUAAAGGACGUUUUGUUAAGGAGAAGGUGAAAGAAAUGUGAAAAGAACUAUAUGAGUUUAGAUUUAAUCUAGUAUCCAAAAAGC
This 1080-nucleotide long non-coding RNA is filed under the name Jatropha curcas. RNAcentral's name for it is "long non-coding RNA (JCUR_LNC000919)". Lineage: Eukaryota; Viridiplantae; Streptophyta; Magnoliopsida; Malpighiales; Euphorbiaceae. The record is from RNAcentral.